Molecule: long non-coding RNA, 380 nt
Organism: Lethenteron reissneri (Far Eastern brook lamprey)
Lineage: Eukaryota; Metazoa; Chordata; Hyperoartia; Petromyzontiformes; Petromyzontidae
Source: RefSeq, a predicted model, not a curated record
GACCUUCAAGAGCAUCACUGGAGUUGUCACGUGCCCAUUGAUGGGCAUGAAGACCUGCUGAGCUGCCAUGAUGAGCGAGGACGACCAAGCCCCGUCGACAGCUGCUGAGGUGGAAAUGGCCGCGACUCAACUACUUGGAGGACGGAGGUCAUUGAAAGAGGGCGAUGCAGCUCAGGCGGCAACCUCGACUGAGAGGCGGCAGGCUGCGGGGGAUGCCUGGAGGCAGCUGCCAAGGGGAACAGAGGGCCGGAGGACCUAAAGACCACGGACGGAGCAUUGUGGACUCCCUCAUCGGACCACUCAUCACACUUAAGCUGACCCGUCUCUACCCACGGGGACAGGCCUGCUGCACAUACCCGUUCGCGACGUUUUUUAGUUAA